Molecule: long non-coding RNA, 243 nt
Filed under: Numida meleagris (helmeted guineafowl)
Lineage: Eukaryota; Metazoa; Chordata; Aves; Galliformes; Numididae
Description: lncRNA (ENSNMEG00000010794.1)
Source: RNAcentral
UAUGCAUGACCUGCUGUUUUGUCAGUGCACAGGAUCAGCAAAAGUGUCUGUGUUCUGGAGGUACUCUAAGCUGACUGCCCACUGAUUUUGCUCAAAGAAGAACAUACAGUACUUCAUUCCCUGUGUUUGGGGUAAGAAGAUAGUUCCUUGCAGCUGGAGGGACUCAUGUUGACCACCUCUUCUGCUAACUCCCACGCUGUGUAUAACCAAAGCAAAGGUAAGUAAGUUAGAGGAAGGACAGAU